This 200-nucleotide ribosomal RNA is filed under the name uncultured bacterium. Its description in RNAcentral is "partial 16S ribosomal RNA". It matches the Rfam family "Bacterial small subunit ribosomal RNA", at positions 29 to 258 of the family's 1533-position model. The record is from RNAcentral.
AGCGAACGCUGGCGGCAGGCCUAACACAUGCAAGUCGAACGAUCCUUCGGGAUAGUGGCGGACGGGUGAGUAACACGUGGGAACGUGCCCUUUGGUUCGGAAUAACUCAGGGAAACUUGAGCUAAUACCGGAUGAGCCCUUCGGGGGAAAGAUUUAUCGCCAUUGGAGCGGCCCGCGUUGGAUUAGCUAGUUGGUGGGUA